AAAUCGGUUCAUAAUUAACAACGAAAAAAUUACGUGUUCGUACGCUGACGGAUUCUUUACGCGUAAAUAGUUGUUAACUAUUAAGUGCAGGGUCGGACUAGUCUAUACUUUAGACUGGUGAUUACCAGUGAGGCAAUAUCUAUGUUAGAAUCGCUUUAAUUUUUUUUUUUUUUUUGGUUACUAAAUAAUACUAUAUGACUUAUAAGAGUCGAGAAAACGGACUGAGAUAUCACGUAAAUAUGUAUAAACAACAUUUCAAAUGACAAUGCAAUGCAAAAAAAUGUUUGAUGAAACCUAUAUGGAUGAGACAAAUAGUGCAUUUAUUGCAAACGCAUAGGUUUAAUGACUCAAAUGACAUUAUGCAACAGGAUAUAUUCUAAUGCGCCAUUGAAAGCUAUUUGCGUUAUUGAGAAUUAAUUUUGAGCUGUUUAAAAUUACUUUUCGCGCUAUUGAAAAACUAUUUACAUUUGAUCAUCAAAUUCAUCAAAUCAACAAUUCUGGUUGAACAAAACUGAAAUGCGGGUGAAAAAUACCAAUGAAGCAAAAAUAACAACCGUGGAUUAAAGGGACGUAUUUGAAUUAGUUAAUAACAUAAAUGAUCAAGAAGAAGGUGAAAAGCCAUUAAGUGUCAAAAAUCUAAAGUUUUGCAAAU
Sipha flava (yellow sugarcane aphid) is the source of this 652-nucleotide long non-coding RNA. RefSeq lists it as uncharacterized. The transcript has 3 exons. NCBI's taxonomy places the organism in Eukaryota, Metazoa, Arthropoda, Insecta, Hemiptera, Aphididae. The record is from RefSeq and is a predicted model, not a curated record.